UGACCAGCAUUUAAACAGUUUACUAGUGGUUGCAGUGCUGCAAGUUUAAAUUCUAAUCCCUUCUGUUUCUCUUAAACAGGAAUGUGGGGAAGGAGACAUGGAGAAGUGGAUUGCUUUGGCCCCUAGAGGAAUACAGCCCCACAGACUGAGCCUUGAUGUAUAAGCUGAUGGCAGCAAAAGCACCAGCUUCUGAAUAAAAAGGGCUGAAGAAAAGAGAAAGGAAGAAAAUACUGCUGAAAAUCAGGUUAAAGCUCUUAGUGAACAAAAAAAUUCCCCACUUCAUGCACAGAACAGCAGCAGCAAUCUGUUCAAUCUACUUGUUGGCACUGAGCCUAAAGAACAAGACCUGCAUCUCCUGGAAAGAAACGGGGGGAUAUCCAUGCAUUCAAGCUGCGGAAUGUCUUCAUUGGGUAUAUGUUACUGUGUAGAAAAUAUUCCUUCCUGGAGUGACACCAGAUUGUGGGAUAAUUUAAUAAGAGGUUUCUGCCAAGAAAAGAAACUCAAGACUGAAGCACUUGGGGUCGAAGAUUCACCCAGAAGAUGUUUUUGAAGAUGGCCUUAACUGCAUCUUUAAUAAAUCCUCAAAUAAUUUGCUUUGUGCA
Molecule: long non-coding RNA, 602 nt
Filed under: Crocodylus porosus (Australian saltwater crocodile)
Lineage: Eukaryota; Metazoa; Chordata; Crocodylia; Crocodylidae
Description: lncRNA (ENSCPRG00005014483.1)
Source: RNAcentral